GUGGGGAAUAUUGGACAAUGGGCGAAAGCCUGAUCCAGCCAUGCCGCGUGUGUGAAGAAGGUCUUCGGAUUGUAAAGCACUUUAAGUUGGGAGGAAGGGCAGUAAGUUAAUACCUUGCUGUUUUGACGUUACCAACAGAAUAAGCACCGGCUAACUUCGUGCCAGCAGCCGCGGUAAUACGAAGGGUGCAAGCGUUAAUCGGAAUUACUGGGCGUAAAGCCCGCGUAGGUGGUUUUGUAAGACAGGUGUGAAAUCCCCGGGCUCAACCUGGGAACUGCACUUGUGACUGCAAGGCUAGAGUGUGUCAGAGGGAGGUGGAAUUCCGCGUGUAGCAGUGAAAUGCGUAGAGAUGCGGAGGAACACCGAUGGCGAAGGCAGCCUCCUGGGAUAACACUGACGCUGAGGUGCGAAAGCGUGGGGAGCAAACAGGAUUAGAAACCCCGGUAGUCC
RNAcentral lists this ribosomal RNA (450 nucleotides) under uncultured bacterium. Its description in RNAcentral is "bacterial SSU rRNA". It matches the Rfam family "Bacterial small subunit ribosomal RNA", at positions 354 to 796 of the family's 1533-position model. The record is from RNAcentral.